AUUGAACGCUGGCGGCAUGCUUUACACAUGCAAGUCGAACGGCAGCGCGGGCUUCGGCCUGGCGGCGAGUGGCGAAAGGGUGAGUAAUACAUCGGAACGUGCUCAGCAGUGGGGGAUAGUACGGCGAAAGCCGGAUUAAUACCGCCUACUACCUGCGGGUGAAAGCGGGGGGGGGAAAGGACUCGCGCUAUUGGAGGGGCCGACGUCGGAUUUGCUAGUUUGUGGGGUAAGGGCUUACCAAGGCGGCGAUCCGUAGGUGGUCUGAGAGGACGAGAGGCCACACGGGGAGUGAGACACGGACCAGACUCCUACGAGAGGCAGCAGUGGGGAAUUGUGGACAAUGGGGGCAGCCCUGAUCCAGCCAGGGCGCGUGCGAGAAGAAGGCCUUCGGGUUGUAAAGCGGUUUUGUGCGGUAAGAAAUCCUUUGGGCUAAUACCCCGGGGGGAUGACGGUACCGGAAGAAUAAGCACCGGCUAACUACGUG
RNAcentral lists this ribosomal RNA (484 nucleotides) under uncultured bacterium. RNAcentral's name for it is "partial 16S ribosomal RNA". It matches the Rfam family "Bacterial small subunit ribosomal RNA", at positions 28 to 507 of the family's 1533-position model. The record is from RNAcentral.